CUUGGAGAACACGUGCCAUUAUGAUAACUCAUCAUAGAUGUAUUGCAAUUGUAUAAAUAACCUCACUGAGGAGUUAAAAAGAAUCCCAGUGGCAUAGGCAGCUGGUCAGCUGGCUGCUGAAGGACAAAGGGAGAAUAUGCUGUUGGUGCACAACACGUCUGAUCUCAGAAGGCAAAAUCAGCUACAUUUAUCUAUUUGACAGUCCCUGCCAGGCUGACAUGGAAAUGUCUAUUUAUGCAUCUGAGGUGCCUCUCUCAGGAAACAUGAUCAACAUUUUCAUUUGCAUCCAGAAACAGAGCCUUGAAGGAAUACCGAGCACCUGGAACUGGAAAUCUCUCAGAGGUGAGCUAGCCACCUGGGAGGCAGACUUUAUGAAUCCACAUCUUCUGCGCUCAGAGCAGGACAGCACAAAAUAAAUCCCUCAAGGGAUACUUGAAAGAGCAGGAGUCACGUUGUUAAGUAUAGACCAGAACUGUAUUCAUCAUGGUUUUAUUAAUAACCUUUUGCUCUUAAUCUUUCACUUGGAUGUUUGCCCUUAAGUCUUGCUUAACGUAAUUUGGCAGUUUCACCCCUCAGCUAGUCUGGCGCUAUGGAGAGGCAAGAUGAAACAGAUUGAAAGCAACAAGCUUUUGGUGGAAAAUGAAGGCAAAGAAGGAUACACAGUGUCUUAAGAGAUAAGUGUCUCCCGUGACAGGGUCAGAGAAGAUCAGAGCUUGCAAAUAUUUUCCUCCUAUGUUCAAAGAGUUGCUGGGGGAUGGACAGGAAGAGGAGACUUUAGUAGGAGGAGAGGAAUAACCCUGAUGGCAAUGAACUAACUCCUCUCUUGUAAGAAACAGAUGGCAGAGAAAUACUGCACAGUUCUGGACGUCCUCUGGAUUUUCAAACAAGUUCUGAUGCCGUGUUUGGUUGUUAUGAGAAGGCAGAAGGUCCUUUUUCACUGCCACCGGGAGCAUGCCAGUUUUAUCAAAGCUAUCCAGGGGUACCAGAGUGCCCUAUUGCAUUUUCCUGAUAGUUCAUCAAAGAUGGUAAGCAAAUAUCCAGUCUUCAGUAAGGCCUAAUCUAAAAACCAAUCAAGCUCUUUUACAGUAAUCACAACUGAAAUAAUGGAAGUCACUGCCCAAGACAAAAGCUGAAGAAGGCAUCCAGCCAUGAUAUCUGUUGGGUUUUCACUGAGAAGGGCAAGGAUACCUGCAUAGAAAAGACAGAUCUUGCUUACUGUUGGAGGUAGCUCUAUUUAAGGAAAAGCUGAAACAUUCCAGAAACAGGAAGACCAAGGAAGCAAGUGAACAAGCCAAACAGCAGUCCUUCAAGAUGGAGAGAAAAAAAACCUGAGAGAAAGUUCUUAUUCCUCCUAGCACGUAAGUUCCUCUGAAGAGGAAGCAGGUAUAAAGAGCAUGAAAUAAAGAGCAUGAAAUCUGAUCCUCGGAAACCUCACAAAUACAACUCUUGACCCAAUACAGAUUAUAAAGAGAGGCAUUAUAAUAUUGCUCACUGUGACACUUUUGAACAGUUAGAAUAAAAAGCUGUCUGGAAUUGUAAAACCAGAAAAGCAGUUACAACGUGAAAUUCUGUCACAGUGAAAAGAACUGGCUGUGACAUGAAGGAAUAUCACAGGCAAGAGGUGGACUAAGAGAACAAUUCACAGAUCUAUAGAAAUACUUCAGUUCCAUCAAUGAAUAUCUGAGGCCUGUUAGCUUGCAGGAACAAAGCUCCAGAGCACAAAAGUCAGCCAGACAGCUAUGGAAUAGACUUGAAGAGAUCCGUUUCAAGACUCUGAAUUUGGUUACUGAAUUUAUCAUCGAUGGAAAUUCCCAGGAUCACAGACUCUAGGCAGAAGGAAUAGAAAUUGCCAAGACACAAAUCAUGAAAACACUGGGAAGCUGGAAAGUCAAAACAAAAGGUGGUUACCUUUGUGGUUCACGUCUCAAAUGCAAAUAGUGAUGACAUCCUUCCUGAAUGAAGAAAAUAAGUUUAACACUAACCUGUUAAAUUCACCUCAAAGAACUUGCGGUAGAAAAAGGAGAACCUGAGAUAGGCAUUAGUGGAGAAUGAAAUGGUGAUUGCCAUUGGCAUUUUGGAACAAGUAGUGUACUGCAUACUGCACUUCAACCAAGGACACACCCUGAAUUUCUAUACGUAAAUAACGCCAUGAUUAUUCUUCCUUUACAACUAACAACAUUUUGUAUGGCUUUUAUUCUAAAGCAAGCAACAGGCUUUUCAAUGGUUCAGGCAAAGUUGGAAGUCAGUUCUCCUAAAACAACAGAUGGGAUAGGGCUACUUCUGCCUGCCACAGAAAAGUGGGGAGUUGCAGUAGUGAGAUGUAGAGGAUCCAUGCUGCUAAUCUUGCUGCCUCCAGGGACUGAUUCUAGUCAACUAUCACAGCUGCUGGGACUGGGCAUUCUACCAAUAGUUUCCACUCCUACUUUAGGGGCAGCAGCAGCUUCAGUCAACCUGUCUUUCCCAGUCCUAAUAUGGAAAAAAAUUGGUGGGAGGGAGUGGGGAGUUAAUGCACUUCAUCUUCCCAGUAGCCUGCUACCUUAGGCAAUUUCUGCUUUGGCUAUGCUUACAGCAAGUCCACUUUGCUGCUGAAAGCUGAGGACUCAAUUUAACUUUGCUUCUUCUGCAUUCUUGGAAGAUUCAGCAGUGUCUACCAGCAUCCAUCUUCUGAGAGUCUGGAGUCUUUACAUGCAGAAAAUUCACCUUGUGUCAGUUUUAAUUGCGUCUCCAGAGACAUCGAUAUAAUGUAAUUCCCCCCAAAAACAAACCGUUUUCCUAUAAUGACCAAUAAUUUUUGUAACGUGCUCUCCAUAUUGUACUGUUCAAAUUCUUUAUGAAAAAGCUUUUGUGUUUUUACAUCAAAUUCUUGAUGUAAAUGGCUACUGUGAGAUUUUUCUAUAAGUUGGUGCAACAUGAGAGUUAGCAGUGUGCCAGAGUAGAGUCUGAAUAAUGUUUGAUCAGGAAGAGCUGUACAGUAAAUAAUAGAUUUAAAAACAGGAACAGCUUUGAAGUCUGUAUCGGCAGUCACUCAUUGUACAGUAACAUCAGAACAUGCAUUGCAUCAAUAUUGGCAGAUAAUACCAAAAUUUCAGUAAAUAUUUGUGUUUGAGGCUAGAGUUAUUAAAACUGUAUGCAGGUAUUUUUGUUACAGCUUUCCUGACAGAUUAUACCAUGGUUGGCUAAUUCAAGUAGUGUGGCUUGGAAUGACAGAAAAAAAGAAAAAAUAAAAAAACAAGCAGUACAAUAAUUUUAUUCAACAUAAAAUCAUACCUUGGCUAUAAUAGCACUUUAUACCCAACUUCAUAGCCUACUUCAUUCCAUUAUUUUUAUUACAAAUGUCGGAAACUUUGCUAAGAGGAAAGAUGUUCAGCAAUGUUCUCUAAAGUUCAGCCCUCUUUUCCACUUGCAGAGUUUCACUGCACCCUCAUGAGAGUCACUUUGUGUUUCAGUGCUUUGGCUCCCAGGAUAUAAAAUAAUAACCUUGUGAUACCUAACAGAUCUGCUAUCUUAGCACAGCUCACUCUAGAUUCUGGUACACUGCAGUGUUUCAGGAGAAAGAUGGUUUAUCUAUGUACACUUUUGCAUUUACAUUUUCUCUUUCAAAUUUGUCUCUUGAACAUUUGUCCUUUCUUUUCCAGCUCUAACUUCCUGCAUUUAGUUUUGCUUCAUGUAAUGCUGCAUCUUCCAGUACAGUCUUCUUCACCUUCAGACACUUUCCUGCAUCAUGCAACUCUGAGGAGGUCUCUCUCUGUACUUCUUUUCUCUGCCAUUAUUACUUUUCCUAUGCUACUACUAGGUUCUCUAAGAUUGAGGAUAGCUAUUUCCAAACUUCCCCAUACCUUUGCAUCUCCUUUCCUAUUAUUCUUUAUUUUCCUGUCUGUGUACGUCUUCCCCUUGUAAGAGAAUUUGUUCCCCUUACGGAGCCCUGCACCAUUAAGUAUUCACUGAUGAGGAGGUAGGGAGAUUUGAAGUACAAGCUGACAGAGAACUUCUAUUCAUGAUACAUGCUGGCCUUUAGCUAUGUGUAAAAUAUCACAGUGAAAGAACACAUCUGACAGAACUGAAGAGAUAAAUUCCAAAUGUGUAGACAUCAACAAUGGGACAUUUCCUGAUAAAUCAAAUUCGGAAUCUUCUGUCCCACAGAAUUUCACUCAUUUGCUGUUGGUGAAUAAGCAGUGGGUAUUGACAUGACUAUGAAGAGCAUUAAGACAAACCUUUUAAAUGAUCUGCUGGACCAACUGGAGGUCUACUCUGUGCUUUCACUCCUCUAUUUUACUUUUUUUUUUUUUCUUGCCUUUAUGACUCAAACAAUGCACCAAGUGAUUCAUGGUAGGGAUGGUAUGCACCUCGAAUAAACAGUUGACCAAUGAUCAGUGCAAAAAAGCUUCUAUCCUUGCAGAGGCCUUGAAGUUGCAACAGGUUUAACCACAGGAAGCUUCACAGGUUAAAUUGUACAUAUUGGCCCAACUAAGAAACAAACUCAAAGCUAUGUAAUACCUGGUUUGAGGGCUGAUUACAGUCCAGAUGCCAAUGGCUCCCAAUUGUUUUUUAACUUAUCCAGUGCAGUGGGCCUUGAAAGAGUGCUAAGUCAGAGGUGAGAAGUGCUGUUGUUUAACUUGAUUUCACUCAUGUGGGGGAUCUAGACCUUUCCUUUGAAUUCAGAAUUCUCAUUGUUAAUCCUUGUUUAAAAAAUAAUGGUUACAAAUUGGCCUUUCAGCAAAGAUCUCAGAAUCCCCUAGAAAUCCUAGAGUAACAACAGAUGUAGUAUUUAUAUGUAUGGUGAUAAGUAUAUUUAAAACUUUUAUAAUUGUUCAGUUCCAAAAUGAACCAUUAAAGUUGGACACAUGCAUACAUGCAUGUAUCCAUAUCUAAACCUCUAACUAUAUGUGAGUGUAAUUUUGCCUAAAUACACGUUAAUUCAUAGGAUAGAAUCAUUUUUUCCAUAGGUUGAAAAAAAAACCUCUAAGAUCCCCAAGUUCAACUGUCAACUCAUUAUGACCGUGCCCACUAAACCAUGGUCCUAAGUGCCACAUCUUCAUGUUUCUUGAACACUUCCAAGGAUUGUGAUUCCACCAACUCCCUGGGCAGUCUGUUCCAAUGCCUCACCACUCUUUCAAAGAAGAGAUUUCUCCUAAUAUUCUACCUGAACCUUCCCUGGCACAACCUGAGGCCAUUUCCUCUCAUUCUAUCACUAUUACCGAGGGAAAGAGGCCAACAACCACUUCACUGUAACUUUCGUUCAGGUAGUUGUAGAGAGCAAUAUGGGCUCCUCUGAGCCUCCUCCAGAUUAGACAAUCCCAGUUCCCUCAGCUUCUUCUGUACUUCUUGUACUCCAGACCCCUCAUAGCUUUGCUGCCCUUCUCUGGACUUGUUUCCAGGACCUCACUGUUUUUGUUGUAGUGAGGGGCCCAAAACUGAACAUAGUACUCGAGGUGCAGCUUCGCCAUUGCCGAGUACAAAGGACAAAAUUAAAGCUACUGCAAAGCUACAGAACAGUUGGUUUAAGGGCUGGUCAAAGUUCAGGUGCCUAAGACUCAUCCCAUUUCUCUUCAGUGCAAGCUGCAUUGAAACCUUUAACGUUUCAAAAGUGAUUAUUUUGGUAUGAUCACUAUUUCUGUUGUUUAUAUAACUUCUCCCAAUCUGUUCUUUCCUCAUUGUAUUCUUUUUCCCUUAUCCAUUCAUGCUUGCACCAAUCUUUCCUUUCUCUGAUCGCUGUUUUCCAUGCUGCUUCCUUUUUAUUUCCCCCCAUGGUUUGAAUUUUAUGAUUAGUCCCUUCAUGUUUCAGUGCCCUUUCUGAGAUGACACAGGGAAAGCAAUUCAGAAAAAGAGCAAUAAUUAGUUGAAAUCUUUAACUGCAUACCAAAUGUCAGAUCAUUCCUUGGAGGAUGGCAGCUAACAUGAAAAGGAAAACUCCCCAAAGUUCUCUUAAGUUCUCUGCUUUUUCUAGACCACUUCAAUAUACAGCGCAGUAAAGGAGAUUACUAGAAGUUCUUCUGAAAGUGGAAGUCAAUUCCCAACCAGAAAAAUAGAAAAGAAUAUCAACUCUGGCAAGUUAAAUUUAAUAAGCCCAGCCAAAGAAGAUUUUGAAGAGCAAUUUGCUAAAGGCAUGAAACUAAUAAUAAAAUGUUUUUUAAGCACAUCAGAAACAGGAAGUCAGCCAGAAAGUCUGUAGGGCUGAUAAGUAAUUGGGGUAUGAAAGGAGAGCUGAAAUAAGACUGUACACCAGCAAAGCGAGAAGAAUUCUAUAUAUAGGUGUUCAGAAGAACUUUUGGAGGUUCCUGUGCCAAAGCCUUUCUUUAAAGGCUACGUCUACAUCUGAAAACACAGAUGGAAAAUAGGUUGAGAUUACAAAAAACAAAACAAAACAAACAAACAAACAAAAAAACAAAUAAUAAUAAUAAAAAACCCAGAACCAUCCCAACUCAGCAUCUCACAAAUUUUGCUACCUAUCAAUGUUUCACAUUUCCUGGGGCCUAACCGUGCCUCCUUUGCAACUCACAGUACUGACAAAUUCAAACAUUCCAGUUUGUAAGCCCCAAAUCAUGAAUUUGUGAGAUGUGCAAUUACUAUUUCUUUCACUUUGUUCGUAGAAGACAAGUAAGAAGGAGAAUAUAGGUUUUUUGGUCUCACUUGUCACUAAGAGAAGUCGAAUUAGUUUGACAGGUAAAAAUAUAAAUGAAGAACUCCCACAUUAAAAACCUAUCAGAAUUAAAUUCACAUAUGUUUGUGAAAGUCUGGACAAAUUCCAGAAGCCAACAGCAUUUUACUUUUUCUUUGACAUGCAUAGUAGCCUCAUGAAAAUGCCAUGUAAUUAACUUAGUAUAAAAGGGAUAAAACGGUGAAGAGAACAACAAAGAUAAUUUGUCAUCAUGAUUUUCAUUAAAAAACCCACAGUAUUACAGGAAUUAAUUUCAGCAGUACUUUGCCCUGAUUACUGCCUGUCAGAUAGUAUAUGGGAAUCCAACAGGAUAUUUGAAUGGAGAAUGUUUGCAGAAUCUCAUCCAGCAUCUGCAGUAGGAAAGUAAGUAGUUUAUCUACAUUGACUGUAAUUUAUCAUCUAUAUUUUAAUAUUGCAAAAACUAAAGACUUUGCUCUAAUUUUAACUUCUCCUAACACCACUAUUUUCCAGUAAACGCUACAUUGAUAAUAGCUUUUCUGGACCGUGUUGUAGUCUUUCUCUUGGACAGGGAGACACAUCAAUGGACUUAAAAAUCACAAGUGUCAUUAAUUUGUUAUUUUUGUUUUCCAGACCUUGUAGAUGUUCACUAAAUGGCAUUACAUCACAUAUGCGCACAAACCUUACUGGCCAUGAAAAGAGAGAACCAAGUCUGGCUUCAGAUUCUGAAUUUUCCAACCGUCUGUAUAGCACUUAGCUCAUGUUCUUAUCCAGCCUUCACAUUUUUAUAUUUUCAAAAGGUUUGUCCUGUCAAGCAGACCUCUUUGGAGUUUGCAACACAUUUUAAUGUAAUGUCUAAACACUAAUCCACUAGCAUACUAGAGUGGCACUUUUUAUUACUUUAAAUAACCUCUUAGCCUACUGAUGCCUCUCUCAAUAUCCUGUGUUUCCACACACAGUUGAUGAAUAGAAUUAUUUGAGCUAAUCUGUGCUGUCCUUUAUUUCAGAUGGUACUUCUUGCAUGAUUAGCAAAGGACGCAUGGCUUAGAGAAGGGAAACAUAAAAUGCAAGGCAUGAUAUAAAUUUCAGUUUCUGUAACAUUUUUCCUUCAAGUUAUGUAAAAGUGUUUUUAUAAACAAUUUUACCUUAAGCUUAAGUGUGUCACUGUAGGAUUACUAUAGCAUUAUAGUAAUUACUCUGGGCAUUUUUGGCCAAAGCAAUGCAAUAUUUCAACGUAACACAUGUGAAAGCUGUGUUGGUUUGCUGUUUUUACAUCUAUUCACAGCUUCCUUAAGAGCUAUCCCAGCACACAACAGGUAUGGGGUUCAAACCUGCUUUGCUUGCAUCAUUGGAAAUAAUCACAUUAUGAGAUGACACACACAUUUGUUUGGCUCUAAGGAAAUGCUUAGAGAAGGCCAGUUAAGAUGAUGGCUUGGCUGCCUUAUUUAGAAGGAAAAUUCUGAGUAUCUAGUACAUUAAGCUAUUCAUUAAAAACAAAAUCUGUCAUGUCUCUUCUCUCACUGUGCUCUCUCCUCUGUGCUCUUUGUUUCCCUGUUCCCAGCUUCCUGAUCCUUCUAUCAUUUCAUAUUUCCAUUCUACCAAUAUGUUGAUCUCUUUUCUCCUCUUUGCUACCCUAAUAAUUGUUCUUUCUCCUGUUCCUCUUCACUCUUCCUGUACUAUCUCCUAUCUUCCUUCUAUUUAACACUGCCAUUCACUCCCAGCUUCUCAUUUUAUGCCCAGCCAGCCUCUCUCUAUUUACGUUAUUCCUCUUCUAGAAGCAUAUAUGCAUGAGAGAAAACAGCUUUCUCAUUCUCCAGUACUUCAUGUAAGGAAACUGUGCCAUUACACAGUUUUCCAAAUCCAGUUCACAUCAAUGCCCCAUUCAUAAUGUACCUUUGGAAGCAAGGGAACAUCAUUUAUUUUGAAUGUCCCCAAGCUACACAGCUAUUCUAGACAAGAACUAACUCUGUGAGUGGCAUGCAUGAUGGUGCCUCCAUGGUAAACAGUAAGUCUUGCUCUUCUCUGAAACUCUUUGAGACAGCUGGAUGUGUAAAACAAGUUACACUGGGUCAAGCUUCACAAAAAGUGUUUUCCCCCUCCUCUCCUCAGUGUUAGGUUUGACUUUUAAAUUAUUAAAGCUACUGAUCAGAAGUAGUACCACUGGGCAAGGCCUGGGGCUUCAGAAUACAAUGAUAUCACAGGCAUGAAAGCAUUUCUUUUCUGCCACAGUGGAGCAAUAGAACAGAACCUAAAAUAACAAGUAGAAAAUCUAGCGACAGGACAUUAGAUAUUUCUCUUUGAUUUUUCUUCCUUAGAUGUAAAAUUCUUUAAAUAGGCCAGUAUGUAGGCAACCUCUUAUUUAACUAGAAUUAUGGAAAUUGUACCCACUCAGCAUGGAAACAUAUUGAGUAGCAACAGCUAUUUAUUUCAACUGAUUUUUUCUUCCAAUCAAUAGAUAUAACUCCCAGGUAUUGACUAUAAUCUAUAUAUUUAAAAAUAACAGCAAUUACUGCCAGAACAUUGAAUAGCUGCUUAUAAUGGAAAACAUACACAUUAUGAGAAAGGAGUUAUUGUAAGUAUAUGCAUUCUGCAGUACAGAAAAUCUAUUACUACACACAAAAUAACAAGCUACUUCAUGUUUCCAGUCAGAGCACCAGGAUAGUCCAUGACUGAUUAACUAGAGCACAAAUAAAAUUGUGAAUGUGAUGUACCAAAGUGCCACCACUGAUAUUCCUACAUUUCCUGUGUUUUGCUUAAAAGAAUCAGUCUAAGAGAAAGGUGGUUGGAUGAUGUUUACUUACAUUUAGACAUUAUUUAUGAAAUAUUAGCCAUUACCACAGGGCCUGUACAAGGACAGUACUCUGCGCCUAGUGCUUGCUAUUGCUUAGUUCGUAGAAUGACAGGUUGGAAGGGACCUCAAAGAUCAUCCAGUUCUAGCGUGGUUGGCAGCCACUAGAUCAGGCUGCCCAGGGCCCCAUCCAACCUGGCUUCAAGCACUUUCAGGGAUGGGGCAUCCACAGUUUCUUUGGGCAACCUGUUCCAGUGCUUCACCACCCUCUGAGUAAAAAAUUUCCUCCUAAUACCUAAUCUAAAUCUCCCCUCUUUUAGUUUAAUCCAUUCCCCCCUUUUGUAUCACUGUCAGUCAGUUUCUCUCUUCUUUAUAAGCUCCCUACAAGUACUGGAAGGCCACAGUGAGGUCCCCCUGCAGCCUUUUUUUCUCCAGGCUGAACAAGCCCAAUUCUUCAACCUUUCUUCAAAAGAGAGGUACUGUGGCCUCCUCUGGAUCCCUCUCCAACAGCUCCACAUCUUUCUUAUAUUGGAGACCCCAGACCCAGACACAGUUGGCUAUAAAACUUUAGGUAACAUCUGCCACAGAAACUCAAUGGAAAUCAGGCCAUAUGAAUAUGAACCUCUCCCUGAGGGCAGGUAAUUGGAUACGUUACACUGAUGUGUUUGGGUGUCAUUUUCAGUAUUAAUGUGAUUGGCAAAACUCUAUGGGUGUUUCAGAAAGAACUUUCCUACUUAAUGUCCAUGCAUAUGUUGCGAGCAUGCAACAAGCAUGGAAAAGCAUAGGUGAUUUAUUUUGCUGUGCUCAUGAAUUCACAAAACAAGAAGUUUGGGCCAGAUAUUCACAUUAUCCUAGAAAAAGCAAGUGAAGAACCUCACAGGAUAACACAGCUACCUGUGGAUUCAGGGGUUACAAUUUAUGGAGCACAGCCAUGAGCACUACAAGCCCUAAACCAGGUUGCAGCAAUGCUGACCCGAACGCAAGCAGGACUGAGCAGGACACUCAACCUCCAGCUUAGCUAAUCAGGUUUCUCUACGUAGACCACAAGUCCAUAAAUCUCUGCACAGACGAUAUGCUCAGCAGGGAGUUAAGUGGCUGACAAAGAGCUGAAUGGAAGCACCCCAUGGGAAAACCAGUGUAUCUACGUUGAGUUAUAUGUGGGCACAGCAGGGCAAAGGCAGUGUCAUCUCCUGCCAGGGGCUGUCUUAGCAACUGUGAUGGAAUUCUUUUCUCCAGAAAUGCUCAUUAGAUGUUCCAUUCUAAAAGAUAUUUAAGCAAACAUAGAGACGCACCUUUAUGACAUUAAUGUAGGUUGGGUUUCUCAAAUAGCAUUCCAUAAUGCUAACUGCUCACUUUUCCAGAAGAAGAAUAACUGUAGCAUACAGAAAUAAGUGAUUAUCCUAAAGGUAUAGUGAUCAUUCAGGACAGAAACAUCUAGAUAUAGACUAACUGCUUAGGGUGCUUCCUGGCCUAAAUUGCAGUAUCACAUCUAAUAUCCAGGAUGCAGAAGACAGUUAAAGGAUAGAAACAAUGUUCAUAAAAUAAAGUAUUGAAAUGACUAUUCAAUUCCUAUUCUGUGGCAGAAAUUGCGAUGUUGGUUAUUAUUGGCCUUUCAUCCUUAAGCAAAUGUCUUUGAAAUACCACUCCUAAUGUGACUGAUGUGCCUCUGAAAUAGUUUCUUAAAUCAGAAUGCCUCCGUUACCAAUGUACAAUGGAGAUCCCUUCAGAGUUUCUGGUUUUUGUAUUAACCAGCUUUAUUUCUCAAUUUUUUUUUUUCCUCAAUGCUCUCUCUCCUCUGGUUAAGGUUUAGAAAUGCUUCUUACUGCAUCUAUGUAAGAACACAAGGCUCCAUAUAUAUUUUCUCUCAGCGAUUUUAUUCACUGAGAUACUCACUGAUAACACUGAUAAAUACUGAGAUUUAUUAAUUCUCAAAAUGGACUUCCAUUCUGAGAAAGUACAUUUACUACUUAAUAAUACAUAAUAAAAGUACAUAAUACUACUUCUCUGAAAGGGUGGUAGGGCACUGGAAUGGGCUGCCCAGAGAGGUGGUGGAGUCACCGAGCCUGGUGGUGUUCAAAGAGCGUUUGGAUGUUGUGUUGAGGGACAUGGUUUAGCAGGAACCAUUGGUGAAGGGUGAAUGGUUGGACUGGAUGAUCCUGUGGGUCUUUUCCAACCUAAGUGAUUCUAUGAUUCUAGGAUUCUAUGAUUUCUGCCUCUACUUCUUUUGAUAAUCCUACUAAUAAAGGCUAGUGUCAUUUAUUGGUAGGGAAUUCAAACAGUCAUAUUUUGAUGAUGAUGAUCUGCAGAAGAGAAAGUAUUUUGUUUUAUUUUUACUGUGGCAAUGGUGCUGCAGUACUUUUAUGCUAAGGAUAUUAGAAGGCAGAUAAUCAACAUGGAUAUUGCAACAACAGAUUUUUGAUUCUGAAGGAUAGAAAGAGAUGAACUAGUCCCACGCAACAUUUAGGUUUCUCCUCAGGUGUACAGGCUGUGCUAUCUCCUCCAUGUACAUAACUUACUUCUCUUUUGAAGGAAUCGUCAGGGAUUCCCUAGUAAAUUACCAAACUAAAUUCCUUGGGCCUUUCCAUUGCUGAGAUUAUGGAGCAUUAGUUAUCUACUGCCAGGUUAAGCUCUGUGAGCUGCUGAGGGCAUCUCCUAAUCAACUCUUAUCUCCCUAAAUGAUUGACUUAGAGACUAUGCUGUACUCCAAAGCAAACUUCUGUCUGCUGUGUAGUAAAUGUUUGACAAUCCUCAUUGAUUUCUAUUUACUUAAAUAAAGUAAUAAUCAAUUAAUGUGAAGGAAAAAAAAACCCAACAUCCUACAGCUACUACUACCGCCUUCUCUAGUGUGCAAAAUAUCUAAGACUCAGGGAAUAGCCAUCAUUCACUUUAUAUGCAACAGCUGGUUUUGUACACUGGUUUGGUAACAUUACUCCUCCCUGUUUUCCUUGCUCUGCCUGUAGCUGUACCUGUGGACACACUAAAAUGCGUAAGGCAAAACCAGUUUAUUUUAAGUGGUUCGAACUGUGGGUCUGAGCUGGGCUGGCUAAGUUUGCAAGUUUCAGGCUAAGGAGCAAUCACAUGAGGCACCCUGUGAGCAAACCCUCAGGGGCAGCGCUUGCAGCUGAGGGGUGCUAAUAGCAUUAGAAAGCAGAAAUGACACUAACCAGAACAGCUGGAUCCUAGAAGGUACCAUCCUGCUGCAGCUGUAAAACUUAUGCCUCAAUGAUCAUUAGGUGUGGGAAGAGCUAUGAUAUGAUGGGGAUAUGAGAUGGGGAAAAUUUCUGUAAAUGUCUUCAAAAAAGUUAAAAUAUGUUACUUCUAUCAAUUUGGUAUAUGCUGUCGUUUGAUUAAAAAAAUUGCCAGCUCAUAAACAGCCAAACUCUUGUACGUAUAGAAAGCAAAAAUAUUUUUAGUACUUAACCAUAAGCACCUCUAUGUGCAGUUUAUAAAUGAAAGCAUCAAGUCAAUAGCAUGUUUUAAAAUCCAAUGGUCAUUUGAUGGGCGUUUUCUUCCAGCCUCCAAGCCAGCUGAAGCGAUUCCCUUCCCUCCAAUGUGUGCUCAGUUGUACUACUCAAGGGGCUACUCCACAAAGCAGAUGAGCACAUCUACCUGCUUUAUAACGGACCUUGAGAGAGAAAAGGAGAUGGGUAACUUUCCUUGGUGACUAAACCAGUUCAGUGUUCAGUACAGAAAAACCUGUACAAGCAGAAUGUGAUGAAAAGGGGCAGAGACAGGUGAAAGGUUGUGGGCAGCUACCUAUCAUCAGCUUGGGCCACCAAGAACAAUACCCAUGGAAGUCUAAAUCCCACACCCUGCUCAGCACUGUUAUAGAAUCAUUAAGGUUGUAAAAGACCUUUAAGAUCAUUUAGUCCAACCAUCAACCCAUCGCCAACAUGCCCACUAACCAUGUCCAUCAGUGCCAACUAUCAACUAGAAUUGAUUAAUUUGCAUUAAUACUAAUAUAUAUAUUACAAAGUUAAAUAGUAAACAUAAUAAUUAAAUACUAAUAAUAUGAUCCUUAAUUUAAUAGUCAUUUAAAACUUUUAUCAAGUAAAAGGAAUACUCAUGUAUACAUAAGGUAUUUUAACACCUUUAAAAAACUUCAUCUAGAAAUACAAAAGGAAUUCUUAUGCAAGGAAACAGACCCUUAUGAUUCAAUGCAGUUUGCCUGUUGAAUUACUGAAGCAUGCCAGAAUAUCACCUAGAAGACUUCUCAGAAUUAGUCAUGCAAGACAUCAACCUGUUGUGCAAACACAUGGACACACAGCGUCAGACAAAACACAUGCUAACCUAACAUUGACUUAAAGCUGUUUUUUCUUCUGGACUUCACAAUGAGGGCUGCAGGUAUUUCUCCCCCUUCUCAAUGCUACACCAGAGCUCUGAGCAGAAGGCCAGUCAAGGUGCUCCUAGAUUCUUCUAGAUUGCACCACAACAUGGAUUUAUAUGUUAAAAGUGUAUGGCACCACUUCUGAAGUCGUGUGUGGCAUAUUAGAACAUAGAGGACUGGAGGAGAACUGCGAGAGACUGCUGACAAUGCCACCCCUACAAAGGAGAAGCUGUGUUGUCAGAAAUGAGGCUCUGGAGGAGGUUCAGCCAUCCCAUCAGCAUAACCUGUGCUGUAGAGGCAGCAAUUGUGGCUGUAAUGUUUUAACUGCGAUCAUUUAAAGACAUCCAUGUCAGACAUAAACAAGGUUCUGCACGCUUAAAAAUUGUCUGCUUCUUCCAGCUACACUGGUCAGCACAAUAAAAGAUGAUGCCUCUUGCCUGCAAACCCACUUCUCUUAUUUUCCAUUCAUUUAUAAUUAAAAACAUGAGUUUAAAGCAAAGAAAAAAUAUUUUCCCAUCCAAAAAGAAAAAUCACACACAAAGUAAAUGAAAACAAGGAAUUGUAUGCUUCUUCCAGCAGAUAUGAAUAUGAGAAAGCUAAGAAUUGUAAUUAAAGUUGUACCUCUUACUAUUUUCCAGAGCAAAAUACAAAUUAGCUAAGUGGCUGCAAUUAAUUCUUUAAGCAAAGCCGCAGGAUGGGAUCUCUGGGUCUCACUUUUAAUCAGAAAAACAUUAAAUUCUAGAAGGAUUAAAGCUACAGAAAGUUGCUGUUACGUGGUACAGUACUGAUCUAGCUUUACAAGUGAGUGAUGGGGAGCACAGGUGCAACAGACCGAAAUGCUGUUUUUCGUCACUCGGAGGGCACUACUUAAGAACAGUGGAAAAAAAGGGAUGUGUUCCAGCCGACAGCGGAAGAGCUGCUGUACUGAUUUUAGAGAUUGAUAUGACAUCUGGGCAAAGAUUUUAACAGCAGAAACGGUAGCACUGAUCUUAGCAGGCGUUAUCAUCUAUGAGAAAACAUUGUGGAAGCCUUUCUGGCUGUUAUUUUGUUAAACAAUCGUUGGAAAAACAAGUUUCACGCCUGAUGGUUUUGUUCCAAGUAUUUAAUGACAAGCAAAGCUCUAGAAGAUCUCUCUCAUCAUCCUUUUGGACUCCGUUUUCUCAUGCAAACUGAGGAUAUUUAGGUUUUAAUAUGAAAUAAUUUACUCACAGUGCUCUCGUGCUACUUUUCCUCCUUUGCAAAAAGGUAUUUUUUGAAACAUGGCUGAAGAGCCAAUCCAGAGAGUUGUCUUCUGAGCACAGCAGCUGAAUACAACACACAGUCGCGGAAUUAUUCCUCUUGAGAUACUCACAGGGAUGAGUUGGUAACGCUCUGCAUAUUGUUCUGAGCAUAAUGGGAAAUGCCAUCCAAGCCGGCAAGGGUGUAAAACUCUUUUUCCUGAUUGGUUGCUCAUCCCAAACUGCCUGGCAAAGGUUUGAAAUAUGCAAUGCAGGGAAGUGAUAUUCUGUGGCAUUCAUUCAAUUUACCUGCACUGCACUCCAGGGAGCCAUGCUAUUAAACAACAGCUCCAGCGGGUCAAUAAAGUUAACUUAAUUAAAUUGCUUUCCCUCCCACUUCUCCAACUAGCAAGAUUUAGGGCACAGGGAC
This 15375-nucleotide long non-coding RNA is filed under the name Gallus gallus (chicken). RNAcentral's name for it is "lncRNA (ENSGALG00010009046.1)". The record is from RNAcentral. Lineage: Eukaryota; Metazoa; Chordata; Aves; Galliformes; Phasianidae.